UGCAGUCGAACGCGUUGGCCCAAUUGAUUGAUGGUGCUUGCACCUGAUUGAUUUUGGUCGCCAACGAGUGGCGGACGGGUGAGUAACACGUAGGUAACCUGCCCAGAAGCGGGGGACAACAUUUGGAAACAGAUGCUAAUACCGCAUAACAGCGUUGUUCGCAUGAACAACGCUUAAAAGAUGGCUUCUCGCUAUCACUUCUGGAUGGACCUGCGGUGCAUUAGCUUGUUGGUGGGGUAACGGCCUACCAAGGCGAUGAUGCAUAGCCGAGUUGAGAGACUGAUCGGCCACAAUGGGACUGAGACACGGCCCAUACUCCUACGGGAGGCAGCAGUAGGGAAUCUUCCACAAUGGGCGCAAGCCUGAUGGAGCAACACCGCGUGAGUGAAGAAGGGUUUCGGCUCGUAAAGCUCUGUUGUUAAAGAAGAACACGUAUGAGAGUAACUGUUCAUACGUUGACGGUAUUUAACCAGAAAGUCACGGCUAACUACGUGCCAGCAGCCGCGGUAAUACGUAGGUGGCAAGCGUUAUCCGGAUUUAUUGGGCGUAAAGAGAGUGCAGGCGGUUUUCUAAGUCUGAUGUGAAAGCCUUCGGCUUAACCGGAGAAGUGCAUCGGAAACUGGAUAACUUGAGUGCAGAAGAGGGUAGUGGAACUCCAUGUGUAGCGGUGGAAUGCGUAGAUAUAUGGAAGAACACCAGUGGCGAAGGCGGCUACCUGGUCUGCAACUGACGCUGAGACUCGAAAGCAUGGGUAGCGAACAGGAUUAGAUACCCUGGUAGUCCAUGCCGUAAACGAUGAGUGCUAGGUGUUGGAGGGUUUCCGCCCUUCAGUGCCGGAGCUAACGCAUUAAGCACUCCGCCUGGGGAGUACGACCGCAAGGUUGAAACUCAAAGGAAUUGACGGGGGCCCGCACAAGCGGUGGAGCAUGUGGUUUAAUUCGAAGCUACGCGAAGAACCUUACCAGGUCUUGACAUCUUGCGCCAACCCUAGAGAUAGGGCGUUUCCUUCGGGAACGCAAUGACAGGUGGUGCAUGGUCGUCGUCAGCUCGUGUCGUGAGAUGUUGGGUUAAGUCCCGCAACGAGCGCAACCCUUGUUACUAGUUGCCAGCAUUAAGUUGGGCACUCUAGUGAGACUGCCGGUGACAAACCGGAGGAAGGUGGGGACGACGUCAGAUCAUCAUGCCCCUUAUGACCUGGGCUACACACGUGCUACAAUGGACGGUACAACGAGUCGCGAACUCGCGAGGGCAAGCAAAUCUCUUAAAACCGUUCUCAGUUCGGACUGCAGGCUGCAACUCGCCUGCACGAAGUCGGAAUCGCUAGUAAUCGCGGAUCAGCAUGCCGCGGUGAAUACGUUCCCGGGCCUUGUACACACCGCCCGUCACACCAUGAGAGUUUGUAACACCCAAAGUCGGUGGGGUAACCUUUAGGAGCCAGCCGCCUA
This 1445-nucleotide ribosomal RNA is filed under the name Limosilactobacillus fermentum. RNAcentral's name for it is "bacterial SSU rRNA". It matches the Rfam family "Bacterial small subunit ribosomal RNA". The record is from RNAcentral. Lineage: Bacteria; Bacillati; Bacillota; Bacilli; Lactobacillales; Lactobacillaceae.